CGAAGCGGGAAGGGGGCCGUGCCAUCCACGUCGCCACACAUACAUGCGCGAACGCGCAAUCAGGAAUACCCCCUCCCCCCACACGUGCCGCGUGUGCGGUCACCGAUAUCACGCACAGGCCAUGCUGACCCUCACUCGUCGAGUGGCCGGCCACCACGCCAAGCAGCGCCUGCCGCGCAGUCUGCGAGGGCUGCCCACCCCUAGCAUACGGCGUGAAUGGGGCAACAUGAAGAACCUGUCGAGUGAGGAGAAGAGGGAGCUGCUGCGCGGUGCAUGGCGAGAGGCGACCCCUGUUCAACUGGUGCCGGACCCGAGCAGUCGAGAUAGCGGCGCUACAUCGGAGCCCAUCACAUUCGCUACAGACGAGGCGGCAGACCGCUAUCUGGCCGAAGAGGAGGAGGAUGAGGUGGCGGAGAUGCACGAGUCCACGCUGGCCCUGGCGCGGCGCUUCUUUGUGGAGCUGGCAGGGGCAGCGGAUGAGGAAGUGGAUGGGACGCAGAUGCCACCGGCCCCCCAGUCGGACGAGGAGCGCCGUCGCGAAAUGCGUGACGUGCAGCGCGAGUUCUUUGGUGACUUCUACGUGGAGCAGGGCAUCAUUGACGAGUCAGAACGAUACGCGUUUGUGGACACCAUGCUACGGCCUUCACGGCCUCUCUUCCUGGUGAACAGUGUCCUGCCAUUGACGCGGCUCACGGUGCGGGAUCAGCUCGAGGUGCACAGCACAGCCUCCACGGGCCUCGACAGCGGCAUCGGGAGCAGCGGCUCGGCGGGUGUGGCAGGCGCGCCUUACGCGUUACCCGUCUUCGCGCCGACGCCCUUCGACCCGUGCCUGUACGCCGUGCCCCUUCCGCCCACCCAGGCGUUUGGCGCACCGCUCCAUGUCUGCUUCUCCGCCGCAACGUCGCGAUUGCAGUCACGGGUGCCUCACACCGAUGCUGCUACUCCAGUCAUUCGUGGUGAUUGUGCAUCGUCCGUGCUUAUUCCGAAAGAAGCACCCAGCGCCACCGGUGAUCAAGCAGCGUCGCCCUCCGCUGCUGCAUCAGUUGACCUCAUCGCCGACGCCGAUGCGCUUGGUGCGAUGAUGCUGGACGCGCCGCCGUACGUGGGGGCAGACUCUUCUCAAUCGCCAGCCGCAGGCCGGUCUGUGUCUCUGACGAAUGCCCCAAGAGAGCCAGCAGCGGCAGCAGCGAGCGACAGAACAGCUGCAUCUGCGCUUGCCGUGGCGGCUCCAGCUCCGAGACUUCCAACGCAGCCGCCAAGCCUCGCUCAUAUGUACUGGCUGCAGCGCCAGGUGGCCAGCAAUACUGUCCUCCACGUGGACGACAUAUCGCUUGUGGUGUCGCUGCUGAGUGUGCGGCUUGCAGCUGCCGCUGUGUCCAGCGAGGAUAGCGCGCCACAACCCUACGAAGUCGUGCUCUGCCAAGCGAGUGACCGAGACGAGACGGCCUGCACGUACCACACGGAAAUCGUGCAUUAUCUCUUUCGAGCUGCGCAGGCGGAAUCCAGCGACCCAGCCGCGGCGGACCGCUUGGCGCGUGUGGUGAUCGUCGUCGAGGAUGCAUCUUUCACAGGCCGCACCGCGGCGCAUCGACACCAGGUGAAAGGUGGGGAGCACAAAGGCUUGAGGUCACAACAUCGUCAGACCAAUGUGGCGUCACUUCCGUGUGACGAGUCCGCUGUGGCGGUGACGGACCGGUACCCGAACGUGGUGUAUCUCCAACCUCGUUCGCCAAACCGGAGGGGGCGGCCACUUACGCCUCCGCGUUGCAGCUUGACGGACGGCAGCUCAGAAGCGGCGGUUUCGAGCCUUCUCAGCAGAGUGGUGCUGUGCGUUCCCGCAACAUCGCAGGACGGUGUUCGCCCCCGUGGCUGGCUCGCCGGUGGCAACGAAGAGGCCGCCGACGAAGACUCCGAUCUCGCGCCGUUGGGAGGGCACACACCGUCGUCGUAUCGCCGCGGUGCUUACAGCUUCGUGUCAAGGGCGCCGCCGAACACCUUCGUGGAACGCUGCCAGAGGGCGAGCGCCAACUUCUCCAAGUUGCAGAAGCAGCUCUACGCGGCCAUACAUGCUGUGAGGGCGGACAGCUGUGGUUGGGUCAUCUACGCCACUCAGAGCGCCAACGUAAUCGAGAACGAGGCAGUUGUGUGCGCUGUUUUGCAGCGCAUUCGCAUGGAGGGUGGCGGGUUGCAGCUGCGGCUACCGCAACAGUCGUGCACGGCGGAGAGGGGGGCGGCCGACGACGGUGCGGCGGCUGCAGGGCAUGUGAGGCGACCGUUGGGCGUGGAGUGCGUCCCGCUAGAUUCACCUGCCAUGGAAGCGUGCAUGGCAUCCCCAGAGGCCACCUCCUUGCUGCGAUUGCUCUGCAGCGAGGGUCGGCCGGGCCUCAGCACAUGGGCUGCUAUCGAAGACGGAUCUGCGGGGCAAGAGGCGGAGCAGUACAGCCCGGAGCUGCGCGAUUCCGUUGCCCAGGCGGCGUGGCGAACUGACCCGAUGCGGACGGGCAGUGACGGCGGCUUUGUGGUGUGCCUGCGCGUAACGUCAGCAGCUCAGCUUCGGGAGCAUGAACAUGGGCGAAGCGGCGGAGCGGCUGCAAGUGUGCCGCCCCUGCCGUGCUUUUGGUGGACACAUCCGGACAGCCACGUCGUCUCGGCACUGACACCGGCCACCUUCCAGUUUGUGCAGAACAUGGAGCGAGCCGAUGUCGCGGGGCGAGGGCGCUCGUCGAAGGCAGUCUCGAAGAUUCUUCACGCGGGAGUGCCAGUAGGGUGCGCCCACCGGCUGCCCGCUGCGCCCGCCUCUGACUCUAGCCUCGGUGUUGCUGAGCCAGCACUACCAGCAGACUGCGGCAUCAGUAGCGCGACGUGCCACGUGGAUGUCCUGGGCGCCCUGCGCCGAUUGCUGCCGCACUUGACCCUUUCCGCUAAGGCCCUUUGUGAGCUGCUGCUGCUCAAGCAUGUCCAGUCUCACGUGCUGCGCAGGCAACUGCGCCUGCUCCAGAAGCAGUCAAUGGUUCAGCAGCGGCGGCAGCUCGGCGUUGAGGAUUCGGCCACUGACACGGCGGCCGAGACGCGCAACUUUCUCACGGCAGUGGAGAAAGCAGCUGAGAACCAUCUUCUGCUCUCCGCCCCAUCCUCCGCGAAGCUGUCUGGCCGGUUCUACGUGUGGGUGGGCGCAGCUGCCGAGUCGCUCCUGCCGUCGUCCGGGAUCAAGGCCACUGCUCAGGCAACGGGGAGCGCGGAGGCGCCGCCUGCUACUGCCGGCACUGCUCUUCACCCCGCUGUCUUGGCCGAGUUGGAGGCGGCUGGCGUUGUGGCGGAGGUCGAGUACCGGCGCCACCCCACUCUCCGUGACCCUGCCUCGUCUGUCAUCGACUUUACCGUGCGCCUCGAUGUGCCCCCAGAUAUGCCAGAGCGAUCCAAGCAUCUUGCAGCGCUGGAGGAGUGGCGAGUGGCGCUGCGGGACGCACUGCUGUACGUGCUUCGGCGCACCUGCAAGGACAGUGGCUCUGCUCGACUCUGGGCGAGCCCGUCCGUAGAUAGCGCCAGCGUGUCCGCAUCGCGGGUGGAUGCCGAUGGCGGUAGCGGUGCCGUGAGUGCGCCACGCACGGACGAGGUGCUCGAGCUUACAGAGAACGAAUACGAGACUGUGCACACGGCACAGCAUGUGCCGACUGGCGGAGUGGCGCACCCUCACGCCCUCUGGGUUCGCCCUACCUUGCCCGGCAUGGAGGCAGAGGACAGGAGGGCGGACUGGCUGCACGACACGAACUACCAGAAGUGGCGCCGACGUCGAGCGCAGCGGUGAACUUGACGUCAGAGUCUCUCGGACUGCCAUGGGCGUAUGCGCGCUCAUAAAGGGGUACGCAGCCACCUUUAAUCUCCUGCGUCUCCUUCCACUGCCAUGUGUUUCGCUCAGCCACACACACACACACACACACACACACCACCUCUCUUUAACGGCACAGAAUUGCCUGGCACAGGCGCGCGCUCCUAUGUCGCUAAAGCCGUGCGAGUGCGUACGUUCGCGGACCCGGCGGGGAGGUAUAGGGGGCUCUGCUGGGGGCCGCGCCAAACUUGACUGAGCCUUUAAGGCUGGUAUGUACCUCCUCGGAUGCUAGCCCCUCCCUCUCCACCGACAACGGUUUCUUUCUAUAUUAGGAAUUCGGAUCUGUGUGCCGGUUAUGCGCUCUCCCUGCCGGAGCUUUCUGCGCUCUUUGCAGCGCUAUCCACUCCGAUGCAUUCCGCGCCUAUGCGCGCACGCACCCGUCUCCACAGCCAUAUGAAGGUACACAGUGGCGCGGGAGGUACUCCUCUUAUCUCCUCUCCUCCCUCUCUCCGUGGGGCUUUUCAUUUUGCUCUCUCGCACGCCUGCUCUUGACGAAUCCACUGCUACGGUUGCUCAUUUUGCGGCACCUGCGGUGUUGAGCAG
Molecule: unclassified non-coding RNA, 4429 nt
Filed under: Leishmania donovani
Lineage: Eukaryota; Euglenozoa; Kinetoplastea; Trypanosomatida; Trypanosomatidae
Description: gene:LdHU3.32.4740(CDS-product:hypothetical_prote in_conserved)
Source: RNAcentral